AGCGGCGGACGGGUGAGUAACGCGUGGGUAACCUGCCCUAUACAGGGGGAUAACAGUUAGAAAUGAUUGCUAAUACCGCAUAAGCGCACGGAGCCGCAUGGCGCUGAGUGAAAAACGAUAGUGGUAUAGGAGGGACCCGCGUCUGAUUAGGUAGUUGGUGAGGUAACGGCCCACCAAGCCGACGAUCAGUAGCCGACCUGAGAGGGUGACCGGCCACAUUGGGACUGAGACACGGCCCAAACUCCUACGGAAGGCAGCAG
RNAcentral lists this ribosomal RNA (260 nucleotides) under uncultured bacterium. Its description in RNAcentral is "partial 16S ribosomal RNA". It matches the Rfam family "Bacterial small subunit ribosomal RNA", at positions 94 to 354 of the family's 1533-position model. The record is from RNAcentral.